This 529-nucleotide ribosomal RNA is filed under the name uncultured Streptococcus sp. RNAcentral describes it as "bacterial SSU rRNA". It matches the Rfam family "Bacterial small subunit ribosomal RNA", at positions 8 to 521 of the family's 1533-position model. The record is from RNAcentral. Lineage: Bacteria; Bacillati; Bacillota; Bacilli; Lactobacillales; Streptococcaceae.
AGAGUUUGAUCCUGGCUCAGGAUGAACGCUGGCGGCGUGCCUAAUACAUGCAAGUAGAACGCUGAAGGAGGAGCUUGCUCUUCUGGAUGAGUUGCGAACGGGUGAGUAACGCGUAGGUAACCUGCCUCUUAGCGGGGGAUAACUAUUGGAAACGAUAGCUAAUACCGCAUAAAAGUCGAUAUCGCAUGAUAUUGAUUUGAAAGGUGCAAAUGCAUCACUAAGAGAUGGACCUGCGUUGUAUUAGCUAGUUGGUGAGGUAACGGCUCACCAAGGCGACGAUACAUAGCCGACCUGAGAGGGUGAUCGGCCACACUGGGACUGAGACACGGCCCAGACUCCUACGGGAGGCAGCAGUAGGGAAUCUUCGGCAAUGGGGGCAACCCUGACCGAGCAACGCCGCGUGAGUGAAGAAGGUUUUCGGAUCGUAAAGCUCUGUUGUAAGAGAAGAACGAGUGUGAGAGUGGAAAGUUCACACUGUGACGGUAACUUACCAGAAAGGGACGGCUAACUACGUGCCAGCAGCCGCGGU